RNAcentral lists this long non-coding RNA (938 nucleotides) under Dromaius novaehollandiae (emu). RNAcentral describes it as "lncRNA (ENSDNVG00000012963.1)". Lineage: Eukaryota; Metazoa; Chordata; Aves; Casuariiformes; Dromaiidae. The record is from RNAcentral.
AUUGUAUUUACUGAUGCUGGGAAUCUCAGAGGUUAAAGGGUUUGCCAAAGAAGUACGAUGGGCACAAGAGAAGAAUGCCUCCCAACAACCUGAGACUUGCACGCAGACUGCAGAUGUUUUGACAGCAAAUGAGUAUCAGUGUAGACACAAGCCUGCAUUCCAUGCUUGUAUGAAGCUGAACACAAGGCCUUGCAUGCUGCUGGAGGCAAAACUUCGAAAAAGGAAGACAAAAUGCCAACAAUGUUAACCAGAAGAAAGAAAAAAGCCCAGGAAACAUAACUAUUUUAAUAACUGUGCAAGUCCAAUACAUACUGCAAUUGCAGUUAUGUUUCAUUUCUUUGACUCAACCCUGAAAAGGAGAAAGGGCAGUAAUGUUGAAAGCACUACCGAAGGUCUAAUUAUUGUCUAAUGAUAUAAAUACUGUUGCUGAUAAUUACACUUAAUUAAAUUAUUAACUAGGUGUUGACUAAUUAACUAGGGCUUUGUAAAUGUGAAGCACUCUUAAUAGCUAUUAUUAUUGUACUGCUUAUAACUAAAUAUCUUUGCUACCGCAUGUGUACACAGGCUUCUGCUGCAAUCUCUGUGAACUGAUAUCCCAGUUAUGCCAUUGCCACUCAUUGCUCAUAAAAUGUACAAAGCUAUAUGCAAUGUUAUUUCCCUUAAAGAACUGUAAAAAAGAUAAAUGAUAUCCAAUGAGCUGAGAACAUGACAUCAGAUCCAGUUGUUUGAUUCCCUCGGUAGGUAAUUGCGUACAUUCCCAUGUGAGUGCAUAUUUUUUUUAUCUGCCUUCUUUUAACUCUGUAUGGAAAUUGAGACUUUCAAAUAUUUCAAUAAUAGCAUGAAAUGGAGUAUUUUAAUGGCCUUUUGUUUUUAUGAACUGCUUGAUAUGAGCCAAAUCUCAAACUGCUUAAGUCAAUAAAAGAUUGCCAUUGACUCCA